ACAAAGGCUGGAUGAUUCAACUACAGACCAGAGGCACCACAAGAGUUUGGUGAUGCCAAAUCUGACCGCGCAGAGUGGGGCUGAGGCUCCCCAGGCAGGGAUAAAACAAGGGUUGAUGUCUCUCCAACUCAGCUGCAGACCUGCUGGGCAAAGAUUUUCACCAUAACAAGGUUUUUAUUGUGCAGCUAAUCACUGCAUUUCACUACUUCUCAGCGCAGAUCCAGGGGCAAUGUCUGCAGGCCAGUGAAGAUAGGAUUGGCUCUACAUCUGGAUUGGGGAUGGUCACCUGCAGCCGCCUCUGUGCUCAGACAACAUGGCCUUGUCUCAGAGCCCAUCCUCUUCCAUCCCUCCUGUUAGGCAGAUAUGUUUUCUGGCUCAGACUUCAGACCAGCAAAGUGCUCUACACCCUUUUGAAAGGAAACAGCAGAUUUCCUCCAUGCUUUGGGACUCAGCACAGGCUGCAGUUUUCAAGAUGAGUAGGUGCCCUGCCUGCAUGGCACAGACCAGCGCCCCGUUAUGUGCCACUUGUCACCUGCAUCACGCCUGCACAGCACGCU
Molecule: non-coding RNA, 557 nt
Organism: Zonotrichia albicollis (white-throated sparrow)
Lineage: Eukaryota; Metazoa; Chordata; Aves; Passeriformes; Passerellidae
Source: RefSeq, a predicted model, not a curated record